AAUUGAAGAGUUUGAUCAUGGCUCAGAUUGAACGCUGGCGGCAGGCCUAACACAUGCAAGUCGAGCGGUAGCACAGAGAGCUUGCUCUCGGGUGACGAGCGGCGGACGGGUGAGUAAUGUCUGGGAAACUGCCUGAUGGAGGGGGAUAACUACUGGAAACGGUAGCUAAUACCGCAUAAUGUCGCAAGACCAAAGUGGGGGACCUUCGGGCCUCAUGCCAUCAGAUGUGCCCAGAUGGGAUUAGCUAGUAGGUGGGGUAACGGCUCACCUAGGCGACGAUCCCUAGCUGGUCUGAGAGGAUGACCAGCCACACUGGAACUGAGACACGGUCCAGACUCCUACGGGAGGCAGCAGUGGGGAAUAUUGCACAAUGGGCGCAAGCCUGAUGCAGCCAUGCCGCGUGUGUGAAGAAGGCCUUCGGGUUGUAAAGCACUUUCAGCGGGGAGGAAGGCGUUAAGGUUAAUAACCUUGGCGAUUGACGUUACCCGCAGAAGAAGCACCGGCUAACUCCGUGCCAGCAGCCGCGGUAAUACGGAGGGUGCAAGCGUUAAUCGGAAUUACUGGGCGUAAAGCGCACGCAGGCGGUCUGUCAAGUCGGAUGUGAAAUCCCCGGGCUCAACCUGGGAACUGCAUUCGAAACUGGCAGGCUAGAGUCUUGUAGAGGGGGGUAGAAUUCCAGGUGUAGCGGUGAAAUGCGUAGAGAUCUGGAGGAAUACCGGUGGCGAAGGCGGCCCCCUGGACAAAGACUGACGCUCAGGUGCGAAAGCGUGGGGAGCAAACAGGAUUAGAUACCCUGGUAGUCCACGCCGUAAACGAUGUCGAUUUGGAGGUUGUGCCCUUGAGGCGUGGCUUCCGGAGCUAACGCGUUAAAUCGACCGCCUGGGGAGUACGGCCGCAAGGUUAAAACUCAAAUGAAUUGACGGGGGCCCGCACAAGCGGUGGAGCAUGUGGUUUAAUUCGAUGCAACGCGAAGAACCUUACCUGGUCUUGACAUCCACAGAACUUAGCAGAGAUGCUUUGGUGCCUUCGGGAACUGUGAGACAGGUGCUGCAUGGCUGUCGUCAGCUCGUGUUGUGAAAUGUUGGGUUAAGUCCCGCAACGAGCGCAACCCUUAUCCUUUGUUGCCAGCGGUCCGGCCGGGAACUCAAAGGAGACUGCCAGUGAUAAACUGGAGGAAGGUGGGGAUGACGUCAAGUCAUCAUGGCCCUUACGACCAGGGCUACACACGUGCUACAAUGGCAUAUACAAAGAGAAGCGACCUCGCGAGAGCAAGCGGACCUCAUAAAGUAUGUCGUAGUCCGGAUUGGAGUCUGCAACUCGACUCCAUGAAGUCGGAAUCGCUAGUAAUCGUAGAUCAGAAUGCUACGGUGAAUACGUUCCCGGGCCUUGUACACACCGCCCGUCACACCAUGGGAGUGGGUUGCAAAAGAAGUAGGUAGCUUAACCUUCGGGAGGGCGCUUACCACUUUGUGAUUCAUGACUGGGGUGAAGUCGUAACAAGGUAACCGUAGGGGAACCUGCGGUUGGAUCACCUCCUUA
This 1539-nucleotide ribosomal RNA is filed under the name Klebsiella pneumoniae subsp. pneumoniae KPNIH1. RNAcentral describes it as "bacterial SSU rRNA". It matches the Rfam family "Bacterial small subunit ribosomal RNA". Lineage: Bacteria; Pseudomonadati; Pseudomonadota; Gammaproteobacteria; Enterobacterales; Enterobacteriaceae. The record is from RNAcentral. RNAcentral also lists the same sequence under 9 other names.